This is a long non-coding RNA of Magallana angulata, 1035 nucleotides long. RefSeq lists it as uncharacterized. The record is from RefSeq and is a predicted model, not a curated record. Lineage: Eukaryota; Metazoa; Mollusca; Bivalvia; Ostreida; Ostreidae. The transcript is spliced from 5 exons.
UUUACAAGUAAAAAGAUUAACAAAAUGGCAGCGCCCUUGAAGUGAUGUUACCUAUUGAUGUCAGUUACACAACUUUGCAAAAAGCAUGAGGAAAUAUGCCUCGGACACACUUUUUAUAAACAAAGUGAUUAAUAGGUUCAAAUAUUUAAACAGAAAGUUGGGCAAUCAUCGAUAUUCGAUUGUUGCAUUUAUUGCAGGAGGUUGUAUCGAAUUGUGCAUGGUAAAGCUGCAAGCAAACGGUGCAAAUUUUUAUAAGUCAUUCAUAGAGAAACAAUCAUUGAUCGAAGCCGAGAGACGUUUCUUUAAAGAAAGAAAUAAGGAAAUUGUAGAGAAAUUGAUGAAAAAUACACCAAAAGAAGAACUUGAUUCUGUGGAGUUUAAAAUAUGAUUCGCUUUUUAAAGGAGUACUUCACCAAACAGACUUUGAAAUUUUAUUUGCAAAUGGGCUUUUGGAUGCUAGUGGGAAAUCAGUGUGUCCACAUGUAUUAUAAACCUCUUGCAAAUUUUGAAGAAGAAGUUCAGAAACAGCUUAGGAUUUUAGAAGAGAGAGCUGAGGAAGAAAAGGAUAAAUUGAAGGCUGGGAAGACGUGACUGUGAAUAUGUAAUGACUAAUAACAGACAGCUAUUUCUCUCUUCAUCUCAUGAGACUUAGUUUGCCAAGAUGUUUGUGAAUACAGAUUUGCAUGUGAUAUUUUGUUAAUAUUUAUAAAUUAAAAAUAUUUUGUCCAUAUAAAAUCCUGAUUUUUUGUUCUUGUUCCAUAGAAAUUUUAAAUAAUUAUGUAUGGUUUCCAUUCACACUGCUAUAGAAGACUUUCUCAUUAACAACCAUCUUUCUAGAAUAAAACAAAAUGUCUGUCUGGGGUCUGCUUUUUAAAAAUUUGCGUCUGCUCUGGGCCCACUCAGGGUCAGCUCAAAAGUGUGAAGCAGACCCGUCUUUUUUCUUACCGCCAUAAGCCCGUUCCUUGUAUAUAUCAAAUACACAUGUAGAGACAUUUGGUCAUUUCUCAGUAGUGAUUUAAGGGUCUGCUUCUGAAA